GUUUUGAAAGGCGCUUUACGGUGCCGCUGAUGGAUGGACCCGCGGUGCAUUAGCUAGUUGGUGAGGUAACGGCUCACCAAGGCCACGAUGCAUAGCCGACCUGAGAGGGUGAUCGGCCACAUUGGGACUGAGACACGGCCCAAACUCCUACGGGAGGCAGCAGUAGGGAAUCUUCGGCAAUGGACGAAAGUCUGACCGAGCAACGCCGCGUGAGUGAAGAAGGUUUUCGGAUCGUAAAACUCUGUUGUUAGAGAAGAACAAGGGUGAGAGUAACUGUUCACCCCUUGACGGUAUCUAACCAGAAAGCCACGGCUAACUACGUGCCAGCAGCCGCGGUAAUACGUAGGUGGCAAGCGUUGUCCGGAUUUAUUGGGCGUAAAGCGAGCGCAGGCGGUUUCUUAAGUCUGAUGUGAAAGCCCCCGGCUCAACCGGGGAGGGUCAUUGGAAACUGGGAGACUUGAGUGCAGAAGAGGAGAGUGGAAUUCCAUGUGUAGCGGUGAAAUGCGUAGAUAUAUGGAGGAACACCAGUGGCGAAGGCGGCUCUCUGGUCUGUAACUGACGCUGAGGCUCGAAAGCGUGGGGAGCAAACAGGAUUAGAUACCCUGGUAGUCCACGCCGUAAACGAUGAGUGCUAAGUGUUGGAGGGUUUCCGCCCUUCAGUGCUGCAGCUAACGCAUUAAGCACUCCGCCUGGGGAGUACGACCGCAAGGUUGAAACUCAAAGGAAUUGACGGGGGCCCGCACAAGCGGUGGAGCAUGUGGUUUAAUUCGAAGCAACGCGAAGAACCUUACCAGGUCUUGACAUCCUUUGACCACUCUAGAGAUAGAGCUUCCCCUUCGGGGGCAAAGUGACAGGUGGUGCAUGGUUGUCGUCAGCUCGUGUCGUGAGAUGUUGGGUUAAGUCCCGCAACGAGCGCAACCCUUAUUGUUAGUUGCCAUCAUUUAGUUGGGCACUCUAGCAAGACUGCCGGUGACAAACCGGAGGAAGGUGGGGAUGACGUCAAAUCAUCAUGCCCCUUAUGACCUGGGCUACACACGUGCUACAAUGGGAAGUACAACGAGUCGCGAAGUCGCGAGGCUAAGCUAAUCUCUUAAAGCUUCUCUCAGUUCGGAUUGUAGGCUGCAACUCGCCUACAUGAAGCCGGAAUMGAUWGUAAUCGYGGRUCAGCACGCCGCGGUGAAUACGUUCCCGGGCCUUGUACACACCGCCCGUCACACCACGAGAGUUUGUAACACCCGAAGUCGGUGAGGUAACCUUUUUGGAGCCAGCCGCCUAAGGUGGGAUAGAUGAUUGGGGUGAAG
This 1301-nucleotide ribosomal RNA is filed under the name Enterococcus sp. RNAcentral's name for it is "bacterial SSU rRNA". Lineage: Bacteria; Bacillati; Bacillota; Bacilli; Lactobacillales; Enterococcaceae. The record is from RNAcentral.